AUGGCGGCUCUCGAGACGCAUGUUCCCGUCUUGCUGAUUGGAAUUGUCCUACUUGCGCCGUUUUCCGCGCUCGUAUGCGCUGAGUCCUCCAGGGAGAAAAUCAAGAUCGGACUGCUCCAUCUGAAUCCGGAAAAGACAGGAGCCAAUGGUGAACAAUCUCUUCAAGCCAGAGGCCUUUUCGAUAGUUUCGGGAGUCUUUUCAAUACGGCCGCGUGGAUAACCCCGCCCGGCCUCAGCAACGCCAAACGCGAGGUAGCCGAGGAAGAAGAUAGAUGGGAAGAGGAACAUGAACACGACGAUCACGACUAUGAUGAACACGUCGCGGAAGUGACCAAAGGAAAAGGCACAAGUAACAGCUUCAACAACUUCGGCGCCGGGAAGCAGAACUUCCGCGGCGCCACGAUCAACACUGGCGGCCACACAGACAGCUUCAACCACGACGGCGAUGGUGGACAGGACUUCAGCGGAGCCGCCAUCGACUCGGUUGGUCUCGUCAACGUCGGCAACAACCACAACGGCGGAAUCCAGAGAAACGGCGGCAUCAGGAUUGGUAGCAUCGGCUCGGAUGGUAUCAGCAUCAAUCGUGGUCAUAUCGUCAUGAGCGGCAACGUCAUCAAUGGCAGGAUCAGCAAUGUAGUUAUCGGGAACAACUACAUUCAGAUCGACUCGAAUGGUGUCAUCGUCAACGUCAUCGAUUCUGGAAACCAUGGUCUCAACAUGAUAAAUAACAAGAUCUACAUCGGCGGGAAGAUGAUCUGCUCGACCAAGACGAAAUCCUUCGCCAAGCCCACGUACCAGAAAACUCCCGAGGGCGCACGGUGGUACACGAACGUCAAAGUCGGGACACCGAUGACCCCGGCCGAGAUCGCACAGUUCGAGAAAGACUGGGCGGAGAUCCUCAAAGAGCAGGAGGAAACCGAGAAGAGGUCGGAGAAGGAGGCGGAGGAGAGGGCGCGCAAACACAAGGAAUGGGAAAGAAAGCACAAGGCACAGAUGGACGCCCGGGACGCGCAAUUGGCUCGGGAAGAAAGAGAGUGGGAACGCCAAUGGAAGGAAAGAGAGCGACAGCACCAAAAGGAGAGGAUGGACUCUCUGCAAGCGAGGUCGAAGUGGGAUGCAGAAGUGAGGGCGAGACAGCAGAAUGAAAGAACGAGAUGGCAACAAGCAAGGACACCGGAAAGGGAAAGACAGCAACGGGAGAGGAUGAGUUGGCGCCAGCAGCGAGAGGCCAGGCGAACACCCUCCUGGAAUAGAGGGGAUUCUUUCAGUUGGUGGUAACUUUAGCCGUCCUGCAGGCUGAUUAUUUAAGUUGAUAGACAGAGGGAUAGACAAUGAAGAUGCAGGGAAAACGGAUCGUUUUGUGUUCUCAUUCUAUUGUUUUGUCCAUCAAUAUUAACAAUCAGCCCGGUGUGUGCUAAAAGAAACCCCUUAAGUUGUCAGUUUUUGCAAACAAGAUAAAGGCCGUUUUUUACAAAGGGAUCAAUUUCAGUCUUCGAAUGUGAAUGUUUACGCCGAUGAAGUGUUAAAUUUUUUAGUUCGUAUGACAUUUUUGUUCCUGGUAGUUGUGUAAAUAAAUCAAUUCGUUUCAGCAAAUUCUUUGGUUCUCUUUCUAUUUUGUACUAGAACGACUGGUAACUUUGCUGACCGCGUCAUAAAUUCACCAAAGUAAAGCCAUGGCUGUGUCGCAGGCAAUCGCCGGCAUAUCACAAUGUGUGCGUUGGAUAAGAAAAUGGAAAGUAAGAAACCAGUAUGUGGAGUUUUUUAUGUUUGAUAUUCAAUCGAAUUUCAAUGAUUAUCACUCAUUAGCACAUUCUUGCCUGCGUUUUCUAAAACCAGGGACCUCAGAUCGUUUUUGUUCGGAUAGGCAAUAGCUGAAUUAACGCGAGUGCCACCUUUGCAAAUUGCCGUUGAUUUCUAAUUGUCUGCGACAACUGCUCAAGGGCAGAGGUACAACCGUCCUCUGGGGCUUCUAGUAGAAUACCUACUUUACAGACUGGGAGAAUAUGGGCAGGUCUGCAAUCAUAAAUAUCCGCCAGGUCUUUAUUGAUAGAUACCUCUUUUUUUUCCCUUAGUCUGUAACAACCAAUUGUUGCAAGCAUCAGGAUCACUUUAAUUGGAAGGGUUUCCUCUUCUAAGGUG
RNAcentral lists this long non-coding RNA (2139 nucleotides) under Bemisia tabaci. RNAcentral describes it as "lncRNA ENSSSA1UGG002997". Lineage: Eukaryota; Metazoa; Arthropoda; Insecta; Hemiptera; Aleyrodidae. The record is from RNAcentral.